CCAUUUUUUUUCCAAAGAGCAUCAUCCAAGCUAAAGGCUAUUUUGGUUAGGAUCUUGAGAUUUUUGAAGAUUUGAAGCAUCAAUUUGGAAAUUGGAACUACCAGGGGUAGCAUCCUUUGACAUCAAAUUCGAAUUCAGAGGAGGAGGUAUUGGUGUUGCUUUUGUUGGAAGAAUCAUGUUUGCUGGCUGUAUCAAGCUCAAAACUCAAUCUAAAGCCCACAAUUCAGACCCUAUUUUCGGAUUUGGAUUCUCCCAAGGCUCAGGAUUGAGAUAGCACUUGAGGUCGUAUUGUAGUCAUAUGGAACUCGAGAUUGUGCAGGUAAAUGAACAUGGAAGGCGGGACGGAUCCUAGGUGGCUUUGGCAUGUGUAUUGGGAGAGGACUAAAGGAAUGGACUGACGGGAUCGAUCGACGAUGACAUUGACGUUUGAGUCUUUUAUUAUGUAUUAAUGAUUUCCGCAUUUAAUAAUUGAACAUUUAAAAUAAAGGUUUAAUUUUCUUUUAUGUAUAAACAAUGGG
Molecule: long non-coding RNA, 518 nt
Organism: Humulus lupulus (European hop)
Lineage: Eukaryota; Viridiplantae; Streptophyta; Magnoliopsida; Rosales; Cannabaceae
Exons: 4
Source: RefSeq, a predicted model, not a curated record